Small nuclear RNA from Choloepus didactylus (southern two-toed sloth), 104 nucleotides. Lineage: Eukaryota; Metazoa; Chordata; Mammalia; Pilosa; Megalonychidae. The record is from RefSeq and is a predicted model, not a curated record.
GUGCUUGCUUUGGUGGUACAUACACUAAAAUUGGAGCAAUACAGAGAUUAGCAAGGCCCCUGUGAAAGGAUGACCCACAAAUUCACAAAGCGUUCCAUAUUUUC